GUUUCGGGCCGAAACCCUUCUUCAGACUGAUGUAGGGUGGGGGGGGGGCGGGAAGAAGAAAGGAAGAGGAGGAGCCAGAGGGCUGAGGGAGAGCUGAAAAGGAGAGGAGACAACAAGGGCUACCUGAUGUAAUCAUCUGAUUGCAAGAUGUCGGCUUCCAAAGAUAAUUUCCAGCACACUUCAUCUCCAAGAUGCCAAUGCUAGCAGUGAGGUCUUUUGUCCCCCUGGCCUCUUCAAACUCACAUUUUAUUGGAUGGCAAAAUACAACUGCUGGUGCUAAUGGACUGGGUUAUGAAUCCUGGAAUGAAGAUCGUCGCCUCGACAGAAGUGAAUCAGAUUUUUACAUCUACAAUUCAAAGGCAUUGUCCCCAAUAAAUAUAAUGGUGAACAG
This is a long non-coding RNA of Leucoraja erinaceus (little skate), 391 nucleotides long. RefSeq lists it as uncharacterized. The record is from RefSeq and is a predicted model, not a curated record. Lineage: Eukaryota; Metazoa; Chordata; Chondrichthyes; Rajiformes; Rajidae. The transcript is spliced from 2 exons.